GACAGAGGGGGCAAGCGUUGCUCGGAAUCACUGGGCGUAAAGGGCGCGUAGGCGGGAUGGCAAGUCAGUCGUGAAAUCUCUCGGCUCAACCGAGAAACGUCGGCUGAUACUGCCGUUCUUGAGGGAUGCAGAGGAGACUGGAAUUCCCGGUGUAGCGGUGAAAUGUGUAGAGAUCGGGAGGAACACCGGUGGCGAAGGCGGGUCUCUGGGCAGUAACUGACGCUGAGGAGCGAAAGCGUGGGGAGCGAACAGG
RNAcentral lists this ribosomal RNA (253 nucleotides) under uncultured bacterium. RNAcentral describes it as "partial 16S ribosomal RNA". It matches the Rfam family "Bacterial small subunit ribosomal RNA", at positions 524 to 776 of the family's 1533-position model. The record is from RNAcentral.